RNAcentral lists this ribosomal RNA (596 nucleotides) under uncultured bacterium. Its description in RNAcentral is "bacterial SSU rRNA". It matches the Rfam family "Bacterial small subunit ribosomal RNA", at positions 237 to 831 of the family's 1533-position model. The record is from RNAcentral.
GACAUUAGGUAGUUGGCGGGGUAACGGCCCACCAAGCCGACGAUGUCUAGGGGUUCUGAGAGGAAGGUCCCCCACACUGGAACUGAGACACGGUCCAGACUCCUACGGGAGGCAGCAGUGAGGAAUAUUGGUCAAUGGGCGCGAGCCUGAACCAGCCAAGUCGCGUGAGGGAAGAAUGGUCCAUGGCCUGUAAGCCUCUUUUGUCAAGGAAGAAUAAAUUGCACGUGUGCGAUCUUGCCAGUACUUGACGAAUAAGCAUCGGCUAACUCCGUGCCAGCAGCCGCGGUAAUACGGGGGAUGCGAGCGUUAUCCGGAUUUAUUGGGUUUAAAGGGCGCGUAGGCGGGACGCCAAGUCAGCGGUAAAAGACUGCAGCUAAACUGUAGCACGCCGUUGAAACUGGCGCCCUCGAGACGAGACGAGGGAGGCGGAACAAGUGAAGUAGCGGUGAAAUGCUUAGAUAUCACUUGGAACCCCGAUAGCGAAGGCAGCUUCCCAGGCUCGAUCUGACGCUGAUGCGCGAGAGCGUGGGUAGCGAACAGGAUUAGAUACCCUGGUAGUCCACGCCGUAAACGAUGCUCACUGGAUCUUGGCGAUA